GAUGAACGCUGGCGGCGUGCCUAAUACAUGCAAGUCGAGCGAACAGACGAGGAGCUUGCUCCUCUGAUGUUAGCGGCGGACGGGUGAGUAACACGUGGAUAACCUACCUAUAAGACUGGGAUAACUUCGGGAAACCGGAGCUAAUACCGGAUAAUAUAUUGAACCGCAUGGUUCAAUAGUGAAAGACGGUUUUGCUGUCACUUAUAGAUGGAUCCGCGCCGCAUUAGCUAGUUGGUAAGGUAACGGCUUACCAAGGCGACGAUGCAUAGCCGACCUGAGAGGGUGAUCGGCCACACUGGAACUGAGACACGGUCCAGACUCCUACGGGAGGCAGCAGUGGGGAAUCUUCCGCAAUGGGCGAAAGCCUGACGGAGCAACGCCGCGUGAGUGAUGAAGGUCUUCGGAUCGUAAAACUCUGUUAUUAGGGAAGAACAAAUGUGUAAGUAACUAUGCACGUCUUGACGGUACCUAAUCAGAAAGCCACGGCUAACUACGUG
Molecule: ribosomal RNA, 497 nt
Filed under: uncultured bacterium
Lineage: Bacteria
Description: partial 16S ribosomal RNA
Rfam family: Bacterial small subunit ribosomal RNA
Source: RNAcentral